This is a long non-coding RNA of Amphiprion ocellaris (clown anemonefish), 389 nucleotides long. Lineage: Eukaryota; Metazoa; Chordata; Actinopteri; Pomacentridae. The record is from Ensembl.
CCAGUAUGUUACAAUGUGAUGCUGAGGAUCCUGACAAAGAGGUGACAAGUAGGAACUUCAGUCAUUACAUUUCCUCCUGUGAUGAGUUCAGAUGAGCAGAAAACAGCCUUAAGCCUUCAAUCUGCAGCUUUCAUGAACCUGCAGGAAUCCGGAUCGAGGACACUGACGGCUGUCACGACGCUUCACAGCCUCAUAAAUCUGGGAGACGCUGCAGCAGCAGAUCUGAUGACCCCAUACAUCACUGAAAGGUCACCGGCGUGACGACGAGGAAGCGAUUCGUCUUCUGAAAAUCCAGCGUGAGCGAUGAGACUGGAAGAGGAGGAUUAGUAUGUAGCAGGGAGGAGCUGAGACCUUUAGAGGAGAUAUGAAGAAGCACUGGAGCUGCUGAG